This 253-nucleotide ribosomal RNA is filed under the name uncultured bacterium. RNAcentral describes it as "partial 16S ribosomal RNA". It matches the Rfam family "Bacterial small subunit ribosomal RNA", at positions 524 to 776 of the family's 1533-position model. The record is from RNAcentral.
UACGAAGGGGGCGAGCGUUGUUCGGAUUUACUGGGCGUAAAGGGCGCGCAGGCGGUCGUUCAAGUCGAGUGUGAAAGCCCCCGGCUCAACUGGGGAGGGUCACUCGAUACUGAUCGACUUGAAGGCAGGAGAGGGAAGCGGAAUUCCCGGUGUAGUGGUGAAAUGCGUAGAUAUCGGGAGGAACACCAGUGGCGAAGGCGGCCUCCUGGCCUGUUCUUGACGCUGAGGCGCGAAAGCUAGGGGAGCAAACGGG